Long non-coding RNA from Poecile atricapillus (Black-capped chickadee), 1045 nucleotides. RefSeq lists it as uncharacterized. The transcript has 3 exons. The record is from RefSeq and is a predicted model, not a curated record. Lineage: Eukaryota; Metazoa; Chordata; Aves; Passeriformes; Paridae.
UUUGGGGAGGGGGACACAGGUUGGGGGGGCACUGGGGACCCCCUGGACCCCCCAAAAAGGGGACCCAGGACCCCUGGGUGACCCUGCUGGGGUUUGGGGUCUCCAAGGUGGGAUUUGGGGUCCCCACGGUGUUGUUUGGGUUGCCCCCAGGAGGAUUUGGGGUCCCCCAUGGGGAAUUUGGGGAGGGGGACACAGGUUGGGGGGGGCAGUGGGGACACCCUGGACCCCCCAAAAAGGGGACCCAGGACCCCUGAGUGACCCUGCUGGGGUUUGGGGUCCCCCCCAGGAGGAUUUGGGGUCCCCCAGCAGAGUUUGGGGUCCCCCAGCAGGAUUUGGGGAGGGGGACACAGGUUGGGGGGGCACUGGGGACCCCCUGGACCCCCCAAAAAGGGGACCCAGGACCCCUGGGUGACCCUGGUGGGGUUUGGGGUCCCCCAGCAGGAUUUGGGGAGGGGGACACAGGUUGGGGGGGGCAGUGGGGACCCCCUGGACCCCCCAAAAAGGGGACCCAGGUACCCCUGGGUGACCCUGCUGGGGUUUGGGGUCCCCCAAGCAGGAUUUGGGGAGGGGGACACAGGUUGGGGGGCACUGGGGACACCCUGGACCCCCCAAAAAGGGGACCCAGGACCCCUGAGUGACCCUGCUGGGGUUUGGGGUCCCCCAGCAGGAUUUGGGGUCCCCCAGGAGGAUUUGGGGUCCCCCAGCAGGAUUUGGGGAGGGGGACACAGGUUGGGGGGCACUGGGGACACCCUGGACCCCCCAAAAAGGGGACCCAGGUACCCCUGAGUGACCCUGCUGAGGUUUGGGGUCCCCCAAGGUGGGGUUUGGGGUCCCCCCCAAGCAGGAUUUGGGGUCCCCCCCAAGCAGGAUUUGGGGUCCCCCAGCAGGGUUUGGGGUCCCCCUGUCAGUUUUGGGCUCCCCCAGGCAGUUUUGGGGUCCCCCUGUCAGUUUUGGGGUCCCCUGUCAGUUUUGGGGUCCCCCUGUCAGUUUUGGGGUCCCCAGGCAGGUUUUGGGGUCCCCCCGGAUGUUUUGGGGUCCCCUGGCA